Molecule: transfer RNA, 73 nt
Filed under: Kwoniella bestiolae CBS 10118
Lineage: Eukaryota; Fungi; Basidiomycota; Tremellomycetes; Tremellales; Cryptococcaceae
Also listed under: 3 other names
Description: tRNA-Ala (TGC) (tRNA-Ala-TGC-1-1)
Rfam family: tRNA
About the family: Transfer RNA (tRNA) molecules are approximately 80 nucleotides in length.
Source: RNAcentral
GGGGAUGUAGCUCAUUUGGCAGAGCGCGUCAUUUGCAUUGUCGAGGUACAGGGUUCAAUUCCCUGCAUCUCCA